CUGAGGGUAUAAAAAAAGCUGUAAAAGCAGCAAACAGUGUGCUUCAAGACAGAAAUAUCUCUGACACUAUCUGUUCUUGUUCUUGAGAAGCUGGAAGAAACAGAUUGUCUCCCUUCAAGGAUUGUGCAAAGAACUUUACCUGUCAGCAUUGCAACCUGAGUGCCUUGGACUGAUGACUGAGCCCACAGGGUGCUGAGUGCCAUCAGUUCCCAUGGACUUCACAGGCUAAAGCUCCCUUUUCAAACCUACAUUUAACAGAGGAAAUUCCUGAAUCUCAGCUCAGUGAUCGGCAGAGACUUCAUACAGAUGUUACAUAUACAGGGGGUUGUAUAUGCCACAAAAUUGACCUUUAAAGCAGCUUUAAUGACCUUUUGCAGUGCUUUAAUGGUGCUGCUGUUUACACUGCCAGUGGUGUAUUGCACGUUUAAUCACUUUGGGACACAGCAAAAUUAAACAUGUUCGAGGUGUUUUAGUUUGCUCCCUUACAGCCGCUGCCCAUGGAGGCAGCCCAGCAGCAGCCCAUGCAGGCAGGCUCCACUGAAGGGGAAAAAAAAGAAAAGAAGUGGUGAUCCUAAUUUUUUUUCCCCUCCCUGGAGCCUGCCUGCCUGAGCUGCAUGGGGGCCUGGUGCUUCCCUCUGGGGCUGUGGCACCCCCCAAGACUGCCCAGGCCAGGUGCUUGUGGGCAGGUGCCACCUGGGGGACACCACUGCCACCGCGGAGGGAAGCACCACCCUGCCACCCCCUGCCGCUCCCCAACUCAGGGAUUGCUCAGCCCUCCGGCAGCUUUCCCUCCUGCUGCCAAAGUUUCAUACUGGCACCCAUCAUCACAGUACUGAGCAUGUUCUAUCAAUGAAUAACAACAGCAACAUUCCUAAUAAACUUUAAGGAGCCUCUGGCACUCCAGCCUUUUCUGGAUAAAGUGAUUUCUAAGGUAGAGUUUCUUAAGCUGGUUUGUUUAGCCUACUGACACCCUCCCUUGGCAUAGUGAGGCAUGCCCUGUUUGCAACUAAUGCCAGAGUUGGUACACUAGAGUACAGUUAACUCUGCAGACUGGCAAGGAAAAGCCCAAGUUCAAAAAGCCCAAGGCAGAAUAAAUCUAAGUUACACAGUUUGCUGUAAGCAGCAUAGUUUAGAUUGGUGGCAAAAAGGACACACGUUCACCCUUUGGUGGAGAGCGCAAAUCUUAUAUCAGGUUCUGCCAUUUUCAAGCCACUCUGUGCACCAAACCUCUGUUAUGGGUAUAGACUAGUUUCCAAUCAGUUAGACUGGUGAAAGUAUGAUGUUUGUACUUGACUCAUAUGUCUAAACAAAAUAUGAAUCUGAGUAAAAAGCCACAAGUUUCCAUACACCCUCUA
Molecule: long non-coding RNA, 1355 nt
Organism: Alligator mississippiensis (American alligator)
Lineage: Eukaryota; Metazoa; Chordata; Crocodylia; Alligatoridae
Exons: 2
Source: RefSeq, a predicted model, not a curated record